Molecule: small RNA, 68 nt
Filed under: Xanthomonas vasicola
Lineage: Bacteria; Pseudomonadati; Pseudomonadota; Gammaproteobacteria; Lysobacterales; Lysobacteraceae
Description: sX9 sRNA
Rfam family: Xanthomonas sRNA sX9
Source: RNAcentral
AUGUACCACUCGUACACUCCGGUUCCUGUGCGCCGUCCGCACCCACCUGACGACUGCUCUCGUCGUCG